CGAAGUUUGAAUUCAACGAUCCAAAGACACUUUCUCCACCUCUCCCAGAUUCUUGCCACUUACAAAAGUUGAAAAAUGCAGGAUUAUGGAUGCAAUUAUUUCUCAUGGUUGCUUCUUGCGAGAAUGUAGCGUUCAACACUCCAUUGUGGGUGUGCGCUCACGUCUAGAGUCCGGAGUCGAACUUAAGGAUACUAUGAA
This is a non-coding RNA of Malus domestica (apple), 198 nucleotides long. NCBI's taxonomy places the organism in Eukaryota, Viridiplantae, Streptophyta, Magnoliopsida, Rosales, Rosaceae. The record is from RefSeq and is a predicted model, not a curated record.